AGAUCUUCGGAUCUAGUGGCGCACGGGUGCGUAACGCGUGGGAAUCUGCCCUUGGGUUCGGAAUAACUUCUGGAAACGGAAGCUAAUACCGGAUGAUGACGUAAGUCCAAAGAUUUAUCGCCCAAGGAUGAGCCCGCGUAGGAUUAGCUAGUUGGUGGGGUAAAGGCCCACCAAGGCGACGAUCCUUAGCUGGUCUGAGAGGAUGAUCAGCCACACUGGGACUGAGACACGGCCCAGACUCCUACGGGAGGCAGCAGUAGGGAAUAUUGGACAAUGGGGGCAACCCUGAUCCAGCAAUGCCGCGUGAGUGAUGAAGGCCUUAGGGUUGUAAAGCUCUUUUACCCGGGAUGAUAAUGACAGUACCGGGAGAAUAAGCUCCGGCUAACUCCGUGCCAGCAGCCGCGGUAAUACGGAGGGAGCUAGCGUUGUUCGGAAUUACUGGGC
Molecule: ribosomal RNA, 444 nt
Filed under: Sphingobium yanoikuyae
Lineage: Bacteria; Pseudomonadati; Pseudomonadota; Alphaproteobacteria; Sphingomonadales; Sphingobiaceae
Description: bacterial SSU rRNA
Rfam family: Bacterial small subunit ribosomal RNA
Source: RNAcentral